ACAAAGUCUAAUCAAAUUUUAAAUCAAAUCUUAAUAAAAAAAAAAAAAAACCUAAUAAAAUUCUAAUAAACCUCUAAAUUAAUUCUAAACAAUUUUUAAAAAAAUCUAAAUUUCAAUCAAAUCCUAAUCAAAUCCUAGACCAAAACUUCAUGAAAUCUUAACCAAUCUCUAAAAAAAUCCUAAAUCUUAGAUUAAAACUUAUUAAAUCCUAAAUCCUAAAUGAGUUCUUAACAAAUCUUUUUGUAGAUUGAAACCUCAACAACAAAUAAUUGAAUCAUUGAUAUCAAUUCAAAAUCUCCUCACUUUUCAACAAUUCAACUAAAAACAAGUACAAAAAAAAUACAAUCAAUAGCACUUAGUAAUUGAAAGAAAUUUAAGAUAAUUUGUUUGGAUGUUGGACAGCUUUUUUCUCUAAUCUUUAUAUUGAGCUCUCAAUGCCAAUAUCUCCUUCUUAAACUAUUAAAUUGCUCUGAAAAUUCUCAUAAAUUUUGGAAAUUAUAUCUACUAUCUACAAAAUUAAUUUUUACUUCAAUCUAACUAGCAGAUUGCUAAAGAUCUUAAAAACUCUCACUAACCC
This 577-nucleotide long non-coding RNA is filed under the name Physcomitrium patens. RNAcentral's name for it is "long non-coding RNA (PPAT_LNC006781)". Lineage: Eukaryota; Viridiplantae; Streptophyta; Bryopsida; Funariales; Funariaceae. The record is from RNAcentral.